Molecule: non-coding RNA, 71 nt
Organism: Picea glauca (white spruce)
Lineage: Eukaryota; Viridiplantae; Streptophyta; Pinopsida; Pinales; Pinaceae
Source: Rfam
AUCAGAGUGGUGUGGUAGAAGCACAAUGGGCCCAUAACCCAUAGGCCCAGGUUCGAAUCCUGGCUCUGAUA